Molecule: long non-coding RNA, 245 nt
Organism: Scleropages formosus (Asian bonytongue)
Lineage: Eukaryota; Metazoa; Chordata; Actinopteri; Osteoglossiformes; Osteoglossidae
Exons: 3
Source: RefSeq, a predicted model, not a curated record
AACGACUUCUCCAGUAGCAACAGGGUUUCCUAUCAGUAUUGGAUCAGUGCUCAUCUCCAUUCGUCUGGUGUUUGAAACCAUAUUGCCAGCACCCUCUGAAACCAACGUGCUCAGUGUGGCACACAAUCUGUUUAACUUCAAACUCAGAUCCUUGGACAAUCCACAGAUGGUGCAGAAUAUUACUUAUGAAAAGUUAUCCAACCACUCCUUUGCUCUCAAAUUUGUGUUUGCAAUCAACAACGUCA